GAGGACGACGCUGGCGGCGUGGAUUAGGCAUGCAAGUCGAACGGUAUCAUCCUUUCGGGGGUGAGAGAGUGGCGAACUGGUGAGUAACACGUAGGUUAUCUACCCUCAAGACGGGGACAACCCAGGGAAACUUGGGCUAAUACCGGAUGUGAGCAACUUUUAGUUGUUUGAAAGGUGGCGUAAGCUGUCGCUUGGGGAUGAGCCUGCGUCCUAUUAGUUAGUUGGUGAGGUAACGGCUCACCUAGGCAAUGAUAGGUAGGCGGCCUUAACGGGUGGUCGCCCACACUGGGAUUGAGAUACGGCCCAGACUCCUACGGGAGGCAGCAGUCGAGAAUAGUCUACAAUGGUCGGAAGACUGAUAGUGCGACGCCGCGUGAACGAUGAAUCCCUUCGGGGUGUAAAGUUCUUUUAUAUGUGAGCAGUGCUUCUUAUAUUAACAGUAUGGGGAGAGAGAUAUUAGCAUAUGAAUAAGCAACGGCUAACUCCGUG
Molecule: ribosomal RNA, 489 nt
Filed under: uncultured bacterium
Lineage: Bacteria
Description: bacterial SSU rRNA
Rfam family: Bacterial small subunit ribosomal RNA
Source: RNAcentral